CAGAGACAAUCGGUGGAUGAGGUCCUUAAAUGACCAUCAGGAAUAGCCUGCAUGUUUUUUUUAUUUUUUUAUUGCAGCAUCUCACAUGCAAAUCUAUUAACAGAGAGCCCCAAAAAUAGUGAUGGCGCAUCUCAUGACAAAGCAUUUCAGAGAUGCUUCAGUACAGUGGCACCGGAAGUGAGACACAGGCAAAAACAAGAUUACGGAAAGAGUGGUGAGAAAGAGAGAGACGUGCGCUGUAUCAGCCUGUCGGGUAGACAACACAUAUCUGUAGAUUUCAUCCAGACACCUUCACUGGAUUACUGUAUUUUACAGUCUAUGUUUUAGAGGUUUUUAAAGACCUGCAGAAAGGUCGCUAUGAGUUUGUGAAAUUCAAAAUAUGAGAUCAGAAAUCCUUCUUAACCUCCAGAGCGUCACCCUUCAGUGAUCAGAAAGCCUCCCUGUGACUCAGCUGCUCCCAGAAUUAGGCAACUCAAAAACAACAGGACAAGGCAGAGGUGUGCUGAAAAACGGCCACUUUAACGGUUUCCUCCUCCGCAUACUAGUGAUGGAUGUGGCAUGAUAGCAAG
Molecule: long non-coding RNA, 569 nt
Organism: Sinocyclocheilus rhinocerous
Lineage: Eukaryota; Metazoa; Chordata; Actinopteri; Cypriniformes; Cyprinidae
Exons: 4
Source: RefSeq, a predicted model, not a curated record